GGGGAUUUAGCUCAGCGGCAUAAGCGCCUGCCUUGCAAGCAGGCAGUCGUGAGUUCAAUUCCUG
Molecule: transfer RNA, 64 nt
Organism: Cavia porcellus (domestic guinea pig)
Lineage: Eukaryota; Metazoa; Chordata; Mammalia; Rodentia; Caviidae
Rfam family: tRNA
About the family: Transfer RNA (tRNA) molecules are approximately 80 nucleotides in length.
Source: Rfam